UGUUCCUAUGGUGUCAAUUAGAGCACAUUAGAUUUUCAUUCUAAAGGAAUAAAGUAAUUUAUUAGGAAUAG
RNAcentral lists this transfer RNA (71 nucleotides) under Strombus pugilis. RNAcentral's name for it is "tRNA-Glu". Lineage: Eukaryota; Metazoa; Mollusca; Gastropoda; Littorinimorpha; Strombidae. The record is from RNAcentral.